Molecule: non-coding RNA, 45 nt
Filed under: Podarcis lilfordi (Lilford's wall lizard)
Lineage: Eukaryota; Metazoa; Chordata; Lepidosauria; Squamata; Lacertidae
Rfam family: Histone 3' UTR stem-loop
About the family: The mRNAs of metazoan histone genes lack a poly-A tail. 3' end processing occurs at a site between a highly conserved stem-loop (modelled by this family) and a purine rich region around 20 nts downstream (the histone downstream element, or HDE). The stem-loop is bound by a 31 kDa stem-loop binding protein (SLBP - also termed the histone hairpin binding protein, or HBP).
Source: RNAcentral
CCAAAGGCUCUUUUAAGGGCCACCCACAUAACAGAAAAAGGAGCU